GCAUAGAUGCACACACAUCCCAUCACAGCUCCCUCACAUCAUGAACAGGAAGUCCAUUCACAGCAUAAAUGUGCAGAUCAGAUGUGAUGCUGCAUACAUCAUUUCUAAUGUGGAGGCCACGUGGUCUGGGUCUGUUCAUGACUCCAGGAUUUAUGGAGAGUCUAACCUGAGCAACAGACUGCAGCGUGGAGAGUUUGAUGGCCUUCUGCUGGGUGACAGGGGUUACCAUGCCAACCCAGGCUGAUGACCUCAUACCCUGACCCUGAACCAGGCCCCCAACAGAACUUCAACCGGACUCACUGCAGGACCAGAGCCCGGGUGGAGAUGACCAUAGGCCUGCUGAAAGCCCGUUUCCAGAGCCUACGUCUCCUCAGGGUGACCCCUGAGAGGGCCUGUGAUAUUACUGUGGCAUGUGUUGUUCUUCAUAAUAUUACCACUAUUAGAGGAGAGCAACACCCUGCCCUACAAACUGAAGACCCAGAUGAUGAGCCCAUCCACCUGCAGCUAUCCAGGACAGCAGAGCAGUCAGAGACACCGUAUGCAAUAAUCACUUUAGAGUUUAAGUCUCCAUCAUCACCACCACAGCAAAUAAAGACAUGAUACACAUUU
This is a long non-coding RNA of Acanthochromis polyacanthus (spiny chromis), 609 nucleotides long. RefSeq lists it as uncharacterized. The record is from RefSeq and is a predicted model, not a curated record. The transcript is spliced from 3 exons. NCBI's taxonomy places the organism in Eukaryota, Metazoa, Chordata, Actinopteri, Pomacentridae.